GCCGUUUAGGUCUGUGGUUGAAAGUCCAGGCCAGCUACGGGCAAAGGGACCCACGUAAGCUGGACCGCAAGGCGGCAGUGAUCAUGGCGUAGCUUAGAUGUAAGUCCUCUGAUAAAAUAUCAAUAGGCAGGUGUGGGGGCAAAGACCAGGUCAGCUAGGCGGU
Molecule: non-coding RNA, 163 nt
Submitted as: unclassified sequences
Source: Rfam